This 519-nucleotide long non-coding RNA is filed under the name Gallus gallus (chicken). RNAcentral describes it as "lncRNA (ENSGALG00010011778.1)". Lineage: Eukaryota; Metazoa; Chordata; Aves; Galliformes; Phasianidae. The record is from RNAcentral.
CUAGAGAACUGUCCCUUAGAUAAAGUCACUGAAGAACUGGAGUGGUGGAGAAUCAAAGUCAAGAAGCAGAAGGCAGCUUGUAACUGCAGGAGCAGAAGAGAGUUCAUAACAGUUUCCACCAACUGUUCUUCAAAUCUGACACCACCUCCACUGACAUCAUUUGCCAUGCUUUGGCUGCAGAUUCCCUUUCACAUACUUGCAUCUCUCAAUUAAGAUACACACCUUUUUUGUUUUCCUCUAAAUUUUGCCCUACAAUACAUAAAAAUGUGUUUAUUGGAGAUUAAAAAAGAAAUCACUGAAUAAAAGUGGCAGAUCAGACCGUAUCUGUGAUGUCUUCAGGUUUGUUUUUUUAAACUGAUUUUGCUCAUGCAGCUUAUAUGUGCAGCCAUUCUUAUUUCUGCUAGGAGGUGCAGCUGACUACUUCAAACUGUACUUCAAUAUCUUGGCUCCACAAAAGUCAACAAUCAGUGGCAAAACUUAUUCAAGAACACCAAAAGCAUGUACCUGCAUAGAGAAUAG